RNAcentral lists this ribosomal RNA (600 nucleotides) under Streptomyces misionensis. Its description in RNAcentral is "bacterial SSU rRNA". It matches the Rfam family "Bacterial small subunit ribosomal RNA", at positions 100 to 714 of the family's 1533-position model. Lineage: Bacteria; Bacillati; Actinomycetota; Actinomycetes; Kitasatosporales; Streptomycetaceae. The record is from RNAcentral.
GAACGGGUGAGUAACACGUGGGCAAUCUGCCCUGCACUCUGGGACAAGCCCUGGAAACGGGGUCUAAUACCGGAUAUGACCGUCUUGGGCAUCCUUGACGGUGUAAAGCUCCGGCGGUGCAGGAUGAGCCCGCGGCCUAUCAGCUUGUUGGUGAGGUAGUGGCUCACCAAGGCGACGACGGGUAGCCGGCCUGAGAGGGCGACCGGCCACACUGGGACUGAGACACGGCCCAGACUCCUACGGGAGGCAGCAGUGGGGAAUAUUGCACAAUGGGCGAAAGCCUGAUGCAGCGACGCCGCGUGAGGGAUGACGGCCUUCGGGUUGUAAACCUCUUUCAGCAGGGAAGAAGCGAGAGUGACGGUACCUGCAGAAGAAGCGCCGGCUAACUACGUGCCAGCAGCCGCGGUAAUACGUAGGGCGCAAGCGUUGUCCGGAAUUAUUGGGCGUAAAGAGCUCGUAGGCGGCUUGUCACGUCGGUUGUGAAAGCCCGGGGCUUAACCCCGGGUCUGCAGUCGAUACGGGCAGGCUAGAGUUCGGUAGGGGAGAUCGGAAUUCCUGGUGUAGCGGUGAAAUGCGCAGAUAUCAGGAGGAACACCGGUG